UUUUGUUCAAACAUCAAAUACUCUUGGAACCUUUGGCCAUUUGAUGUGUUUUGAAAAAGCUUACAUAACUUCUUUUAGCUCCACUUUUCUCUAAUUUUUUCCUUCUCUAAAAAGAGUCUCACCACUCUAUUCCAAGCCUUCAGAAUAGCUAGGAAGAUCUCUUGGUGGUCCUUCAUUGGAGCUAUUUGAAGAUUUUUGAAAAGCUACAAAGGAUCUGCAACAACUCGAUGAUCAGGGACCUACAAAAUCAGAUUAGUCUAAACCGGUGCGACCUUAGUCACAUGGGCUCCGAUGCCAAAGUCAGCUCAAUUAACGAAGCAACUUAGUGUGAAGUAGCUAGUCUCGUUUUUGCCUACCUCUAGGGUUUGCUUUCCUCUUUACUUAUAGUCGUUCGAGCUUUUCUAGGAUUUCUUCACCACGUGGCUUGUAACAGAUGGCGGAGGAAAGAAGGCUUGUAACAGAUGACGGAGGGAAUAGGGAGCGUCGGGCUUGGCCCAUGGGCCGAACCAGACUCGGCCUGGCCCAAUUUGGGACCAUUUGGGAGUGGAAA
Long non-coding RNA from Momordica charantia (bitter melon), 550 nucleotides. RefSeq lists it as uncharacterized. The record is from RefSeq and is a predicted model, not a curated record. NCBI's taxonomy places the organism in Eukaryota, Viridiplantae, Streptophyta, Magnoliopsida, Cucurbitales, Cucurbitaceae.